GAUGAACGCUGGCGGCGUGCCUAAUACAUGCAAGUCGAACGAACUUCCGUUAAUUGAUUAUGACGUACUUGUACUGAUUGAGAUUUUAACACGAAGUGAGUGGCGAACGGGUGAGUAACACGUGGGUAACCUGCCCAGAAGUAGGGGAUAACACCUGGAAACAGAUGCUAAUACCGUAUAACAGAGAAAACCGCAUGGUUUUCUUUUAAAAGAUGGCUCUGCUAUCACUUYUGGAUGGACCCGCGGCGUAUUAGCUAGUUGGUGAGGUAAAGGCUCACCAAGGCAGUGAUACGUAGCCGACCUGAGAGGGUAAUCGGCCACAUUGGGACUGAGACACGGCCCAGACUCCUACGGGAGGCAGCAGUAGGGAAUCUUCCACAAUGGACGCAAGUCUGAUGGAGCAACGCCGCGUGAGUGAAGAAGGGUUUCGGCUCGUAAAGCUCUGUUGUUAAAGAAGAACGUGGGUAAGAGUAACUGUUUACCCAGUGACGGUAUUUAACCAGAAAGCCACGGCUAACUACGUGCCAGCAGCCGCGGUAAUACGUAGGUGGCAAGCGUUAUCCGGAUUUAUUGGGCGUAAAGCGAGCGCAGGCGGUCUUUUAAGUCUAAUGUGAAAGCCUUCGGCUCAACCGAAGAAGUGCAUUGGAAACUGGGAGACUUGAGUGCAGAAGAGGACAGUGGAACUCCAUGUGUAGCGGUGAAAUGCGUAGAUAUAUGGAAGAACACCAGUGGCGAAGGCGGCUGUCUGGUCUGCAACUGACGCUGAGGCUCGAAAGCAUGGGUAGCGAACAGGAUUAGAUACCCUGG
This 807-nucleotide ribosomal RNA is filed under the name Pediococcus pentosaceus. Its description in RNAcentral is "bacterial SSU rRNA". It matches the Rfam family "Bacterial small subunit ribosomal RNA", at positions 28 to 790 of the family's 1533-position model. The record is from RNAcentral. Lineage: Bacteria; Bacillati; Bacillota; Bacilli; Lactobacillales; Lactobacillaceae.